Molecule: long non-coding RNA, 337 nt
Organism: Oncorhynchus masou masou (cherry salmon)
Lineage: Eukaryota; Metazoa; Chordata; Actinopteri; Salmoniformes; Salmonidae
Exons: 3
Source: RefSeq, a predicted model, not a curated record
ACUACAGCAGGACAGGACAGCUACUAUGUGUCCUACCAGAGGGAUCCAUUCCUCAAACUCAAACUGCUCAAAUAUUCUCUGCCUAAGCUUGUUUACAACCCCAACCCAUAAGAUACAUCAUCGCUGCAGUGCCAGAGUGGAACCAGAAUGACACAUACAACCUGUACCUCUCCGACACCCUGGCCAUGGAGAAUGUCAAGACCACCCAGAUGCUAGACCUGUAUGAGGAUGAAUCCCCAGUUUAUCAUCCAGACACUGGCAGGUGUGAUGGAGGGAGGAAGAGGAGUGAGAUAUGGGUCUGAUAUUCAGAGUCAGAAGUCAUGAACAAUGUUAUUAC